Molecule: ribosomal RNA, 497 nt
Filed under: uncultured bacterium
Lineage: Bacteria
Description: partial 16S ribosomal RNA
Rfam family: Bacterial small subunit ribosomal RNA
Source: RNAcentral
GAUGAACGCUGGCGGCGUGCCUAAUACAUGCAAGUCGAGCGAACGGACGAGAAGCUUGCUUCUCUGAUGUUAGCGGCGGACGGGUGAGUAACACGUGGAUAACCUACCUAUAAGACUGGGAUAUCUUCGGGAAACCGGAGCUAAUACCGGAUGAUAUUUUGAACCGCAUGGUUCAAAAGUGAAAGACGGUCUUGCUGUCACUUAUAGAUGGAUCCGCGCUGCAUUAGCUAGUUGGUAAGGUAACGGCUUACCAAGGCAACGAUGCAUAGCCGACCUGAGAGGGUGAUCGGCCACACUGGAACGGAGACACGGUCCAGACUCCUACGGGAGGCAGCAGUAGGGAAUCUUCCGCAAUGGGCGAAAGCCUGACGGAGCAACGCCGCGUGAGUGAUGAAGGUCUUCGGAUCGUAAAACUCUGUUAUUAGGGAAGAACAUAUGUGUAAGUAACUGUGCACAUCUUGACGGUACCUAAUCAGAAAGCCACGGCUAACUACGUG